UCAUUCACGCCUCUCACUCUCAUCUCAGGUCUCUAUAUCGAUGGUGUCUCUCUCUCUUCUCUUUCCCAUCUCAGACUGAGUUCUCUCUCACAUUCUCAUCCAUCUCAGAUCAGAUCGGUGUGCUGCUGCUCAUCUCUCUCUGUCGGUGAGCUCUCUCUCUCUCUCGGAUCGAUGACUAUUUUUGUUCAUUUGUUCCCAAAUCAUCCAUCUCAGAUUAGAUCGAUAGCUAUAGCUGUUGCCUCUUUCUUUCGAUCAUCCAUCGCAGAUUAGAUCGAUUGUUCAUGUCAUCUACAAUGGAUUCGGUAAAUGAGUUCAAAAGGAGCUUAGAUGGGUUUGGAAGCGGUGAGGUUCCACAGGAGCAGGUUGCUGUAGGCUAUAGAGGAGAAGGAUUUGACAGUAGAAUCUUCCCGUCAACAGUAUAAAGGAGCCAUUUUUGGAUGGAUUUUUGCAUUUAUAGAGGCAUCGGGAGUGUUGGAGGGGCUUGGAAGCUGCUGGCAAUGAUAUCGACGAUGCAAAAAUAGUAAUGUCUAGAGCCAACAACGGGAACGAGAACGAAAACGAGAACGAGAACGGGAACGACCUCAAUUGAAACAAGCUCCUCUUUGAAGAACAAUCAGCUUAUCUCAUAAUGAGUUUCAGGUCUCGUUUGUCAAUUAUAUAUUUUAGUUAAAAAGUCAUUAUAAGUUAUCAAAUCACUCUUUCUACUUUUCUGCACAUCUUUCGUAAAAUGUCAAAAAAUUACUAAAAUAACAUGUUCCCGAACUAGGCCUAAUAUCCCCUAAAAGUUUCCUAAAAAGUUGCGGGAGAGAGAGAUAGAUAAGCGGGGUACAUGUUUGGCAAUAUAUUUUUUGGCUUUUUGAGCUAAAAUAGUACUAAGGCCUCGUUUGGAAAUAAACUAUUUUAGUAAUUUUUUAAUUUUUUACGAAAAGAUGUACAAAAAAGUAGAGAAUAUGAUGUGACA
This is a non-coding RNA of Camellia sinensis, 961 nucleotides long. NCBI's taxonomy places the organism in Eukaryota, Viridiplantae, Streptophyta, Magnoliopsida, Ericales, Theaceae. The record is from RefSeq and is a predicted model, not a curated record.